GGCGCCCUGACAGAGUGGUCUAUUGUACAGGUCUGCAAAACCUCGGUUCAUGGGUUCGAAUCCCAUGGGCGCCUA
This 75-nucleotide transfer RNA is filed under the name Caudoviricetes sp. RNAcentral describes it as "tRNA-Cys". It matches the Rfam family "tRNA". Rfam says of the family: Transfer RNA (tRNA) molecules are approximately 80 nucleotides in length. Their secondary structure includes four short double-helical elements and three loops (D, anti-codon, and T loops). The record is from RNAcentral. Lineage: Duplodnaviria; Heunggongvirae; Uroviricota; Caudoviricetes.